RNAcentral lists this long non-coding RNA (880 nucleotides) under Gallus gallus (chicken). The record is from RNAcentral. Lineage: Eukaryota; Metazoa; Chordata; Aves; Galliformes; Phasianidae.
AUGUACAGACCACUGGCAAGGUAUGCUUUUGUAAGACAUCUGACAGGUACUGUCCUUGCCAAUCUGAAGUAUUGACAAGAAUAAUGUUUUCUGGCAGCUGGUCAUCAGAAACCAGGAUGUGAUUUAGUUGGUCGUACACAGUUUUCCUGGGGAUCUGUAAGUGGUGCCGGGUGUCUGGAGAUCGUUCAUUGUCCAAGCUGUUCGCUCUCUCAUUCUGCGGCCUCACUGGCUGCCUCUCCUUCAAAGAUGUGCUUCUUCCCCGACGUCCAGUUUGCUUCCCCUCAGACCUGCUGGUGGAUGGGAUAAUGAGGGACUCCGUCUUGGUGAUCUUCCCGCUGGGUGGGAGCUUCUCAACAAACACAUCUGGUGCGGGAAGUUCUGCUUCUUGGACCUCAGCUUGCUGGUUAGACUCAAAAGAGACAGUGUCAGAAAUACUGUCGUCUGUGUGUUUGGUUCCAAGACUCUUUGUCUUUUCAGGCACUUCUACAGGACUUGAUGGCUCUCUCUGGCUCCUGAUGCUGUGGAUGCUACCAAUUUCUGUCUGAGAGCUGGAGUGUGACAGUCCUUCAAAAUAAGGUUUUAACUUUGGCUUCGGUGUGCUCAAAACACUGUCAUCAUCUUCCAUUUCUGGCCCACUGUCACUGGGGUUCUCUAUAUCCAAUGUGUCGUACAGAAGGUCCAAGUCUUCCUCCACCUCUGGAACGUGCUCUGCAGGGUCCUGCUCUGAAUCCAGAACCUCAUCAGACACUUUAAAUCUCUUCAGCAAAGCCACAACCUUCUGCUUGAAGUUUUGUUGCCUGGUUAUGGACGUCGUUCUUACUAUCGAUCUCCGCUGCUUCUUGGGCUUCCCCAGCUCGUACUCAUCAUCAUCCAAAUCCUG